GGUGCCAAGGCAUCGAGGUCACCCAGAAAGUCAGGCUACUCACUCUUGGUGCAUCAUGGGGAAGCUGGUGACCAUGAAGUAGAGAGCUGACCAUUUUCAAAGCCAUUCCUGUGUUCCUGGACACUUGGGUUGCAUCUACUUCUUUGCUUCUGCAAACAGCACCUCGGUGAACCUCCUGGAUGGCCUCCUCAUGCCUACCUGCAUGGCAGGAUUCUGGAGGUGCAUCAGUUGUCACAGGAUGGGGAGGCAGGAAAUGCCUCUGCAUUUCAAGUGACCUCCUGGCUAAAACUGAGUGAGUCAUGCGCUCCUCCAGCCUCACAGAGUGCUUGUCCAGGCCUCUAAGAGCAGUUGGCGGGAGCCCUGCCCUCACCGUGCAAGGCAUCCGCCUGAUGAAGGCCCUGGACUUACAGCAGAUCAAGCAACUUCUCCUCGGCCACAAAGUUAAGAGGGGGAGACCCCAGUCUUUCUGGCUCCAACAUCCAAGCUCUCUUUGCCCAUGAUCUUGGAAUGAGGCCUGGCAGAAGCUACACCUGGAUUCCCACUGCUGAACCCAUGUAACUGGCAUUUGGACUUUUCUACCCAGUUACCCCCUUACGGGUCUUCAGAAUAGUUUUGCUGCAACAGCUUAAACCAUCCCAGGCCUCUGCACUCUGAUCUUCUGCUAGUCUGGCAUCAUUAACUGCCAGUCUGGAGUUCGGUGACUGUAAACUCCGAGGGGUCAGAGAUCACACCUGUCGGCGCACACGUCAUGCCCAGAACCCGGCCCAGUGCUUGCUACACAAGAAAAAUGACAGGGACUCACUUUCCAAGAAAUUACAGUACGUUCAAUGACUUCCCAUCAAGAGCGUGCACUGUUCCGUGUCCUGCCAUUGGAUGAAGGGGCUAAGACUUGGAUUUUCCAGAGGACCAUGUGAGUGGCCGUUUCCGGAUGAACGAGCAGCCAAGCACCAUCUUGGGACCAGGACCACUUCCCAAGCCAGUUCUCCCGGGACACCUCUCCGCGCGACCUUCUCUCCCGGGCGGAAUGACAGUGGCGCUCUCUGCCGCCAAGGUUCGGAGGCAGGCUCUGCAGUGGGCAGCGGGAACGGCUCAGGAAUUCCAACCCCCCAGGACCGCAGGACCUGCCAAGGCUCCCACCCUGCCUGAGCAAAAGCUUCAACCCGAGCAGCCUGGAUGUCAACCACACCUUGAACUUCUACCUCCAACUGCGCUUCAUAAACAGAAUUCUGCUCAAAAGAAAAGUUGGAGAAUCACUUGACUGGGGGGAUUGCAUCACCGCGGGGGAGGACAAGGAACCUGGAGGCUUCGAGGGCCAACCAGAAGAGGCUGACUGCCCCACCCGAACUACAAUUCCAUAGCAACGAGAGCCUGGACUGUGUAGUUCACCACGACCUCUCCUGCUCCCAGUACAUCAUGAACAUCUUUCCAGCAAGCCAGGAGCAUGGGACUCCCGUGGGAGGGAGAAAUCCAUCUGACCACUCAGCGACACUGGCCACCUGCUCAAAGCCAGGCCCCUGGGCCAGGCCACCACGAGGGGACCCCCUGCGUUUCUUCCCUUCCCUCUUGUCUGACGGGACAGUGUUUGCCUUAAAAACUACUAGGACUUCAGAAAAAAGUGCGAAGUAUAAAAUUCAGGGCUACAUGCAUGCUGGUACUCUGCCAGAGAUCUGGACGGUUCUCACCUCAAAAUUGCCACCCCUACGGUAGGAGCCCUCACAG
Mustela erminea (ermine) is the source of this 1719-nucleotide long non-coding RNA. RefSeq lists it as uncharacterized. The record is from RefSeq and is a predicted model, not a curated record. The transcript has 13 exons. Lineage: Eukaryota; Metazoa; Chordata; Mammalia; Carnivora; Mustelidae.